GUGCCAGCCGCCGCGGUAAUACAGAGGGUGCAAGCGUUAAUCGGAAUUACUGGGCGUAAAGCGCGCGUAGGUGGUUUGUUAAGUUGGAUGUGAAAGCCCCGGGCUCAACCUGGGAACUGCAUCCAAAACUGGCAAGCUAGAGUACGGUAGAGGGUGGUGGAAUUUCCUGUGUAGCGGUGAAAUGCGUAGAUAUAGGAAGGAACACCAGUGGCGAAGGCGACCACCUGGACUGAUACUGACACUGAGGUGCGAAAGCGUGGGGAGCAAACAGGAUUAGAAACCCGUGUAGUCC
RNAcentral lists this ribosomal RNA (292 nucleotides) under uncultured bacterium. Its description in RNAcentral is "partial 16S ribosomal RNA". It matches the Rfam family "Bacterial small subunit ribosomal RNA", at positions 505 to 796 of the family's 1533-position model. The record is from RNAcentral.